GGGAUAACUGAUGGAAACGUCAGCUAAGACCGCAUAGGUGUAGAGAUCGCAUGAACUCUAUAUGAAAAGUGCUACGGGACUGGUAGAUGAUGGACUUAUGGCGCAUUAGCUGGUUGGUAGGGUAACGGCCUACCAAGGCGACGAUGCGUAGCCGACCUGAGAGGGUGACCGGCCACACUGGGACUGAGACACGGCCCAGACUCCUACGGGAGGUAGCAGUAGGGAAUUUUCGGCAAUGGGGGAAACCCUGACCGAGCAACGCCGCGUGAAGGAAGAAGUAAUUCGUUAUGUAAACUUCUGUCAUAGAGGAAGAACGGUGGAUAUAGGGAAUGAUAUCCAAGUGACGGUACUCUAUAAGAAAGCCACGGCUAACUACGUGCCAGCAGCCGCGGUAAUACGUAGGUGGCGAGCGUUAUCCGGAAUUAUUGGGCGUAAAGAGGGAGCAGGCGGCACUAAGGGUCUGUGGUGAAAGAUCGAAGCUUAACUUCGGUAAGCCAUGGAAACCGUAGAGCUAGAGUGUGUGAGAGGAUCGUGGAAUUCCAUGUGUAGCGGUGAAAUGCGUAGAUAUAUGGAGGAACACCAGUGGCGAAGGCGACGAUCUGGCGCAUAACUGACGCUCAGUCCCGAAAGCGUGGGGAGCAAAUAGGAUUAGAUACCCUAGUAGUCCACGCCGUAAACGAUGAGUACUAAGUGUUGGGAGUCAAAUCUCAGUGCUGCAG
Molecule: ribosomal RNA, 719 nt
Filed under: uncultured bacterium
Lineage: Bacteria
Description: bacterial SSU rRNA
Rfam family: Bacterial small subunit ribosomal RNA
Source: RNAcentral